This 96-nucleotide ribosomal RNA is filed under the name uncultured bacterium. Its description in RNAcentral is "partial 16S ribosomal RNA". The record is from RNAcentral.
UGGGCAACCUGCCCUCCAGCGUCUGGGAAUAACUCCAAGAAAUUGGGCUAAUACCGGAUAUGAACCGGCUGACCGCAUGGUCUGGUUGGUGGAAAG